This 253-nucleotide ribosomal RNA is filed under the name uncultured bacterium. RNAcentral's name for it is "partial 16S ribosomal RNA". It matches the Rfam family "Bacterial small subunit ribosomal RNA", at positions 524 to 776 of the family's 1533-position model. The record is from RNAcentral.
GACGUAGGGUGCAAGCGUUGUCCGGAAUUAUUGGGCGUAAAGAGCUCGUAGGCGGUUCGUCGCGUCGGCUGUGAAAACCUGAGGCUCAACCUCAGGCCUGCAGUCGAUACGGGCGGACUUGAGUACUGCAGGGGAGACUGGAAUUCCUGGUGUAGCGGUGAAAUGCGCAGAUAUCAGGAGGAACACCGGUGGCGAAGGCGGGUCUCUGGGCCGAUACUGACGCUGAGGAGCGAAAGCGUGGGGAGCGAACAGG